RNAcentral lists this ribosomal RNA (416 nucleotides) under uncultured bacterium. RNAcentral describes it as "bacterial SSU rRNA". It matches the Rfam family "Bacterial small subunit ribosomal RNA", at positions 356 to 773 of the family's 1533-position model. The record is from RNAcentral.
GGGGAAUAUUGCACAAUGGGGGAAACCCUGAUGCAGCGACGCCGCGUGAGUGAAGAAGUAUUUCGGUAUGUAAAGCUCUAUCAGCAGGGACGAAAGGGAGCGUAAGCUCCUGUGACGGUACCUGACUAAGAAGCCCCGGCUAACUACGUGCCAGCAGCCGCGGUAAUACGUAGGGGGCAAGCGUUAUCCGGAUUUACUGGGUGUAAAGGGAGCGUAGACGGUGAUAUAAGUCAGAUGUGAAAGCCCGGGGCUCAACCCCGGGACUGCAUUUGAAACUAUGUUGCUGGAGUGCAGGAGAGGUAAGUGGAAUUCCUAGUGUAGCGGUGAAAUGCGUAGAUAUUAGGAGGAACACCAGUGGCGAAGGCGGCUUACUGGACUGUAACUGACGUUGAGGCUCGAAAGCGUGGGGAGCAAAC